RNAcentral lists this ribosomal RNA (471 nucleotides) under uncultured bacterium. Its description in RNAcentral is "partial 16S ribosomal RNA". It matches the Rfam family "Bacterial small subunit ribosomal RNA", at positions 28 to 507 of the family's 1533-position model. The record is from RNAcentral.
GACGAACGCUGGCGGCGUGCUUAACACAUGCAAGUCGAACGAUGAAGCCUAGCUUGCUAGGUGGAGUAGUGGCGAACGGGUGAGUAAUACGUGAGUAACCUACCUUUAACUCUGGGAUAAGCCUGGGAAACUGGGUCUAAUACCGGAUACGACCAAUCUCCGCAUGGGGUGUUGGUGGAAAGCGUUAUGUAGUGGUUAUAGAUGGGCUCACGGCCUAUCAGCUUGUUGGUGAGGUAACGGCUCACCAAGGCGACGACGGGUAGCCGGCCUGAGAGGGUGACCGGCCACACUGGGACUGAGACACGGCCCAGACUCCUACGGGAGGCAGCAGUGGGGAAUAUUGCACAAUGGGCGCAAGCCUGAUGCAGCGACGCCGCGUGAGGGAUGACGGCCUUCGGGUUGUAAACCUCUGUUAGCAGGGAAGAAGAGAAAUUGACGGUACCUGCAGAGAAAGCGCCGGCUAACUACGUG